ACUCCUACGGGAGGCAGCAGUGGGGAAUAUUGCACAAUGGGCGCAAGCCUGAUGCAGCAACGCCGCGUGAGGGACGACGGCCUUCGGGUUGUAAACCUCUUUUAGUAGGGAAGAAGCGAAAGUGACGGUACCUGCAGAAAAAGCACCGGCUAACUACGUGCCAGCAGCCGCGGUAAUACGUAGGGUGCAAGCGUUAUCCGGAAUUAUUGGGCGUAAAGAGCUCGUAGGCGGCCUGUCGCGUCUGCUGUGAAAACUGGGGGCUCAACCCCCAGCCUGCAGUGGGUACGGGCAGACUAGAGUGCGGUAGGGGAGAUUGGAACUCCUGGUGUAGCGGUGGAAUGCGCAGAUAUCAGGAAGAACACCGAUGGCGAAGGCAGAUCUCUGGGCCGUAACUGACGCUGAGGAGCGAAAGCAUGGGGAGCGAACAGGAUUAGAUACCCUGGUAGUCCAUGCCGUAAACGUUGGGAACUAGAUGUAGGGUCCAUUCCACGGAUUCUGUGUCGCAGCUAACGCAUUAAGUUCCCCGCCUGGGGAGUACGGCCGCAAGGCUAAAACUCAAAGGAAUUGACGGGGGCCCGCACAAGCGGCGGAGCAUGCGGAUUAAUUCGAUGCAACGCGAAGAACCUUACCAAGGCUUGACAUAUAGAGGAAAAGGCUGGAAACAGUCUCCCCGCAAGGUCUCUAUACAGGUGGUGCAUGGUUGUCGUCAGCUCGUGUCGUGAGAUGUUGGGUUAAGUCCCGCAACGAGCGCAACCCUCGUUCUAUGUUGCCAGCACGUAAUGGUGGGAACUCAUAGGAGACUGCCGGGGUCAACUCGGA
RNAcentral lists this ribosomal RNA (819 nucleotides) under uncultured Actinomycetes bacterium. RNAcentral's name for it is "bacterial SSU rRNA". It matches the Rfam family "Bacterial small subunit ribosomal RNA", at positions 335 to 1167 of the family's 1533-position model. Lineage: Bacteria; Bacillati; Actinomycetota; Actinomycetes. The record is from RNAcentral.